CACGCCCCCUCCCUCCCCUCUACGACGGUGGCCCUCGCCCCCCACCACCUGUGCCCUGCCUGUCCCCCACCGCUGUCACUGUGUGCCAGGGCUGGCAGGGAGGAGGAGGCGGAGGCAGGCGGGGGAAGGAUGGAGGGAGGAGCACUCCAGUGAUGCUUCAUGCUCACAGCUCCAGCCCUCCCGAGAGCCCAACCUGGCGAGCCCCUUCCUCUCCCUCCACCGUUCCCGGCUGCCGGUGGUGAAGGAUGCUCGGAGCAUCGCUUGCUGCCGCGACGUGCUGACAGCGGGGACCCCGCCGGGAGCGGGCUGCCGUCCUGCCGGGCCUGAGUCCGUGUCACCGGGCCAGCAGGGCUCUGCAGAAGCAUGAAGAAGAUUUGGGUGAAGAAGCGUUUCCAGAAGACUGGCCACUCGCGGCGCUUCGGGCGCUUCACGCAUGGUGCGUUGAGUUACCAGGACCCGACUCCCCCCACUGCCCCAAGCGUGCUGGGAUGGGCCCACCACCAUGCUGCAAGGGGCAGCGAGCAGAGGCUGGGCAGGGCUGGAUUUCAUCUUGCCAGCCACAAAAUAGGGUCCUGGUCAGCCAGGAGCUCACAGUGUCCUCCAUGCAGCUGGUCUGCUCCUGGCCUUGCAGCUGUACUUGCUCAGGGGCUGACAGACUGUUGUGGCUACGAUUGGGAAUCUGAUGCACUAGCAGUGCAUGAAGCAGUUGGUCGUGUGCUGGGCUGCAGAGGGGUGGAUUGGAGUGGGGCGAAGCAGUGUGGUCCCCUGCACACCUUAAGAAUGCAAUGGAGAGGAGCAGUGGUGGGGCUGGGGACACGUUUCUCACGGCAGGGGUUGUUUCUGCAGCUUGUGAAGGCUUGAGCAAUGGCAAGGAGGAAAGUCAGUCCUCUCCUGGCAGCAUGGCACUAGUUUUCCUGGAAUGGGACGUUAGGGUGAUACUGAAAUGGCCUUGCCACAUCCUGCCUGGUGGGGGUCAGCUCUUAGUGAUGCCCUGCCCUGAGAAUUUUGGCUUUAUCAACCGUAGCUGUGUUGUGGAGCACAGCUGUAUUGUACAGCACUUGCACUCGUGGGGCAGAGGAUGGACUUGUACAUGCCAGGGGGAGGCUGUGUGCACAUGGACACGUGUCCGUGUGCUCCAGAUCCCCAGGAGUGCCUAGCUGGGGCACAGACUGGGAGGGUCCAGCCCCAGGCUGAAAUGCACUGCAAAGCACAGCAGCAUGUAUGAAUACUGCAGCGGUGAGGCCAGCAGCUCCAGGGAUAGGGGGUGGCUGUCCUGCUGGGCAGGAUAUGGCUGUGGCACAGGGAGGGGAAUGGUGCUGUGCACUGCACAGGUGGGACUGUGUGCAAGGAGAGGGUCUGUGUGCAGUGCUGGAAUGGUGUGCAGUGAAUGGGAUGCAGAGUGGAGACAUGGUGGGGAAGUGCUGGGGACAAGGGCCCCCCCGGCUGCCCCCCGCGUCUCCGCAGGCCGGGCCGAUAACCGGGUGUUGAUGUCUCUCUCUCUCUUGCUGCCCCUAUGGAAGCGAAGUUUUCCGCUCCUGCAGGAAACAAAGCUACGGUAGGAAGACACCUUCCCAGUGCCAUCACUGUCCCCAUAGUGGACCCUGUGCCCCAGCCUGGCGCCCUGCUCUGUCACUUCUAUUGUCCCCUUGCUCUGCUUUUUUUGUCCCCAUGCCACCUCUGCCAUCUGCGUUCCCACUGCUGGCACUGCCUCCCUUCCUCCUGUCAUUUAACAGUGUUCCUGCCUGCCCUUGCCCUGCUGGACUUUCCCACUCCUGGUCCUGCCUUUUCCUACUGGCAGCUUGUCCCUGCAGGUCACAGUCAUGCCUCCUGCCCUGAAGCUGCCUGGGCACUGCUCUCGUGC
This 1861-nucleotide long non-coding RNA is filed under the name Chloebia gouldiae (Gouldian finch). RNAcentral's name for it is "Erythrura gouldiae (Gouldian finch) lncRNA (ENSEGOG00005004701.1)". The record is from RNAcentral. Lineage: Eukaryota; Metazoa; Chordata; Aves; Passeriformes; Passeridae.